GAGGGUGUAGCUCAGUGGUAGAGUGAGUGCUUAGCAUGCACGAGGUCCUGGGUUCAACCCCCAGUGUCUUCA
Molecule: transfer RNA, 72 nt
Filed under: Camelus bactrianus (Bactrian camel)
Lineage: Eukaryota; Metazoa; Chordata; Mammalia; Artiodactyla; Camelidae
Also listed under: 1 other name
Rfam family: tRNA
About the family: Transfer RNA (tRNA) molecules are approximately 80 nucleotides in length. Their secondary structure includes four short double-helical elements and three loops (D, anti-codon, and T loops). Further hydrogen bonds mediate the characteristic L-shaped molecular structure. tRNAs have two regions of fundamental functional importance: the anti-codon, which is responsible for specific mRNA codon recognition, and the 3' end, to which the tRNAs corresponding amino acid is attached (by aminoacyl-tRNA synthetases). tRNAs cope with the degeneracy of the genetic code in two manners: having more than one tRNA (with a specific anti-codon) for a particular amino acid; and 'wobble' base-pairing, i.e. permitting non-standard base-pairing at the 3rd anti-codon position.
Source: Rfam by way of RNAcentral